This 24-nucleotide non-coding RNA is filed under the name Arabidopsis thaliana (thale cress). The record is from RNAcentral. Lineage: Eukaryota; Viridiplantae; Streptophyta; Magnoliopsida; Brassicales; Brassicaceae. RNAcentral also lists the same sequence under 5 other names.
AGCCAAGGGAACGGGCUUGGCAGA